This 264-nucleotide long non-coding RNA is filed under the name Elaeis guineensis (African oil palm). RNAcentral's name for it is "long non-coding RNA (EGUI_LNC062663)". The record is from RNAcentral. Lineage: Eukaryota; Viridiplantae; Streptophyta; Magnoliopsida; Arecales; Arecaceae.
GAGGAGAUCCAGUAGAGUACUGCAUCAGCUAGAUAGAUGCUAUGAUUUCUUGGUCUGGGAUGGUGAUCCUGUUGAACUAGAUGAAAACAAUGAGGAUCCAAUCACCUUUAUAGAUGACAUAUAGAGAUUUAACUCUGAUAAGUGGCUCGAAGCCAUGAAGUCCAAAAUAAAAUCCAUGAAGGUUAAUGAUGUAUGGACACUCAUUGAUGUGUCCAAAGAGAUAAAACCCAUAGGGUGCAAUGGAUAUUCAACAGAAAAAGGGGC